RNAcentral lists this non-coding RNA (46 nucleotides) under Schistosoma mattheei. The record is from RNAcentral. Lineage: Eukaryota; Metazoa; Platyhelminthes; Trematoda; Strigeidida; Schistosomatidae.
UCACUGCUGAGGAGUCCUACAACAGGACGAAACGAUCGUCUAGUGC